UUACUGAAGCAAUGUAUCAUUGAAUUGACCUAAUUCGAAAAUACAACUUUCAACAACGGAUCUCUUGGCUCUCGCAUCGAUGAAGAACGCAGCGAAAUGCGAUACGUAAUGUGAAUUGCAGAAUUCAGUGAAUCAUCGAAUCUUUGAACGCACAUUGCGCUCUCUGGUAUUCCGGAGAGCAUGCUUGUUUGAGUAUCAGUAAAACACCCUCAGUUCUCUCGUUUUUCGAGGGAAUUGGACUUGAGCGAUCCCAACGGCGGUUUAAAAACCGCUGGCGGGUCGCUUGAAAUGCAGGUGCGGCUGGACACUUCUUCUGAGCUAUAAGCAUUACUUAUUUAGUCCCGUCAAACGGAUUAUUUCUAUUGCUGCAGCUAACAUAAAGGUUGAUUGUCCUGUGCCCGACUGAUGCAGGAAAACAAAGAGAAAUCUUUGUUCAACUCGAUCUCAAAUCAAGUAAGACUACCCGCUGAACUUAA
This 476-nucleotide ribosomal RNA is filed under the name uncultured fungus. Its description in RNAcentral is "eukaryotic LSU rRNA". The stretch from base 45 to 198 matches the Rfam family "5.8S ribosomal RNA". Lineage: Eukaryota; Fungi. The record is from RNAcentral.